UACGGAAGGCAGCAGUGGGGAAUAUUGCACAAUGGGCGCAAGCCUGAUGCAGCCAUGCCGCGUGUAUGAAAAAGGCCUUCGGGUUGUAAAGUACUUUCAGUCGUGAGGAAGGUGUUAAGGUUAAUAACCUUAGCAAUUGACGUUAGCGACAGAAGAAGCACCGGCUAACUCCGUGCCAGCAGCCGCGGUAAUACGGAGGGUGCGAGCGUUAAUCGGAAUUACUGGGCGUAAAGGGCACGCAGGCGGUUAAUUAAGUUGGAUGUGAAAUCCCCGGGCUUAACCUGGGAAUGGCAUUCAAGACUGGUUAGCUAGGGUCUUGUAGAGGGGGUAGAAUUCCAUGUGUAGCGGUGAAAUGCGUAGAGAUGUGGAGGAAUACCGGUGGCGAAGGCGGCCCCUGGACAAAGGCUGACGCUCAUGUGCGAAAGCGUGGGGAGCGAAACAGGGAUUAGAUACCCG
Molecule: ribosomal RNA, 456 nt
Filed under: uncultured bacterium
Lineage: Bacteria
Description: bacterial SSU rRNA
Rfam family: Bacterial small subunit ribosomal RNA
Source: RNAcentral